UUGGGCCAAAAGGGACCCAACACACAUUUAUAAAAGGACAAAGAAACACAGUGAUCCCUUCAGAACAAAAGGAACACAAUAUAUAGCAACAUUUUGGAGUCCAAUUUGGUCCAGAAAAACCCAUUUCUAAGCCCAAGUCCAAACACUCAACAUUCCUCGGUUUACUGCCACCGCUGUGUGUUUAGAAAGAAGAGACGCCUCAUUGCAUCUACCAGGUAAUGUUUCUUAAACCCCAACUGUCUUCUUCCUUCAUAAUUCUACAAACCAUUCUAACUUUCUGGAGUUUACUUUAUUUUUCUGUGAAUUGGGGACUCUUUUCUUCAGUUUCAUGCUUUAACCAUUUUCAAGUAUUAAGGUUAGAGUGAAUAGAGUAGGGCUGGCAAUUUAGACCCUGGCGAAACCAACCAACCAUGUACCAACCGUACCAAGCAAAUUGGUAUGCCAAGUAGUUGGUAACCGAGUUUUCGGUACAGUAGUACCGUACCAAGUUUGAGGAGUCGGUUGGUACAUGGUACAAGUUUUCCUAAAAUACAGUAUACCGUGUACCAACCGAGUUAUAUUAAAAAUAAUAAAAAAAUAAUUAAAACUAUUAAUCCAAGCCGUUGAUAUGUGGAGAUGAAUCUCCAUCGUUGAUCUAACCCUAAGUUCCUAAUUCUUCUCUCACUUCUCUCAGUCUCUGCUCUCUAUUCUCUCAGUCUCUUGAUUCGGCACCUCGACUCGGCACAUGGCAGCACCUCACACCUCCGCCACCUCUACUGGGCAGCACCUCAUGCCUCCGCCACCUCACCUCACACCUCCACCACCUCGACUUCACAGCACCUCCGCCACCUCGCUUCGAGAACUGGGCAGCACCUCGCCUCUCUCGCCGUCAACCUCGCCUCUCUCAGUCUCUCGAUUCGACACCUCGACUCGGCACUCAGCAGCACCUCGCACCUCCGCCACCUCACCUCACACCUCCACCACCUCGACUUCACAGCACCUUCGCCACCUCGCUUCGAGAACUGGGCAGCACCUCGCCUCUCUCGCAAUCGACUCGGCAGCACCAAGGGCAGCGCCUCGACUCGGCAGCGCCAAGGGCAGCUCCUCGACUCUCCGACGAAGAAGCCAUCGGCUCCGUUCAAGAAGCCUUUCGCCAAGCCUUGUUCGAGACUUGUUCCUCCACAGACAACCUAUCUUUCUUCACUCUCAGGUACAUCUCAACCUGUUGCCAUUCAAAGAUUCAAACUUUCAGUUGUUUAUUUGAUUUGAUUCUCAUUUUUUUUGUUUUAUGCUGCUUUUGGGUGAGAUAGGUUUCAAACACCAAAAUACGAUUGCUUUUGGGAAAUGGGUAUUCAGGGAAUCGUCGAUACAGUGUCUUCAAUGAGUUCUCGAAGCAAGUCAAGGAGGAAACUAAUAAGUACUUCCUAUUCCCUCUCACUAUAUCUUGCAUUUGUAAUGUUGAUUUGGGUGUGUGUAGUUGAGGUCAAGGUAANNNNN
This 1476-nucleotide long non-coding RNA is filed under the name Fragaria vesca (wild strawberry). Its description in RNAcentral is "long non-coding RNA (FVES_LNC001277)". The record is from RNAcentral. Lineage: Eukaryota; Viridiplantae; Streptophyta; Magnoliopsida; Rosales; Rosaceae.